UCCCUAUGGAUAUUGGGGUUGUCUGAGGGAAGAGGGAAACGGGGCCCUUGGUCUCUAGGGACACCAGGGGCACCAUGGGCCUCUGAGCAGGGAUAUUGGGGGGUCUCUAGGGAUAUCAGCAGUCUUUUGGGGAGAGCUGUCGAGAUGGUGCCAUCAAUGAAUUUUCUUUUAUAGUUCCAAGAAAUAGGUGUCUCUUGGCAGCUGAUCUCUUCACAAGUGACAGUGCAAAGUGACCUGCUUCCUCGUGGCUGCUGCGUGCGUCUUCCUUUUCCUUGCGAAUUCUGCGAGAAAAGGGACAUCGACGUCCCCUGGGAAAAGGGAUAAAUAGGGAGAGGGAAUUUGGGAGGCUGUUUGGUGGGCAAGAGAGUUUUGAGGAAGCAGAGAGCCCUGCAGGAAGGGGUUUGUGCUGGGCGAAUUGCUGCCCUGAAUCGCUGCCCUCAGCGCCAGGCUGACACCUGCGCAGGACAUUCCUCGUCCCCCUCGCCGACCUGCGCGCUUGCUGACGUUUUCCAGGGGCACCGGCAUGGAUCGCAGCAGCAUGAGCUGCGCCGACGCUGCCGCCCGCCUGCCUGCGGGACCGCGCAGUGCUGGCGUGAGGCCCGGCCGCGUCAAGCGCCGCAAAACCAAGCGGGAGCGCGACUCCGCCAAAUUCGGCCAGAAGGUCGCYGGAGCCAGGCGGCUGGAGCCCAGGAUUCCGUGGAGGGUGGUGCCAGUGCCGCCGCUGCCUGUCCGGGGCUGCCGCUGUGCUGGCCGGCCCCUCCGCAGCCCCGUUUCGGCCCCCAAGCCGGUCGUCAUCACCCAGAACCGCCUCAGCCAGCACCUGGGCAUGUUCAACAGGGAGGUGAAGUCCGUUGAUAUUGAGAGGCUGCUGAGCCCCUGCAACGGGCCCGAAACCGCCCCGGCGAGCCCCAGCGGGAAGGACGCCAGGACGGAGCUGCAGCCGCAAGCCGACGUCCCGGCUGCUCCCAGCCCUGCCACGGAUCCCUCGCUGCAGCGCCUCCCUGAGGGGCAGCCGCGGACGGAGCAUGGGAGCGGGGAGCCCUGGCCCGCUGCUGCUCCCACUGCUGAGGAAUCCGUGCCAGCUCGCCCCGAGCCCAGCGCGAGCCGAGCCAAAACACCGACACCCCCAAACAACAAGGAGAACGUGCCCCCGCUAGGUCCGGGGCUGGAGCGCGGGGCAGCCGGCCUGCCCUGGAGGGAGAUAGCUUGCAAGCUCCGAGUGCUGCUGGGCCGCACGCUGGCGUUCCCGGGACGCGAUCUGGUCGGCGAGCGGCGUCAGACCAUCCUCGCUGUCCUGCUCGACAGGCACCGGGCCUACCCUGACCUCUCCGCGCUGCUGGCCCACAAGACCCGGGUGGCGGACGCUGCUCCGCAAGAUUUUGGGAGCCCCGGCACCCCAGAAGAGGAGCUGCUCUUCACUAUGGGGUUGAACGGUGGUGGUGGGAACUCCRAG
This 1453-nucleotide long non-coding RNA is filed under the name Apteryx haastii (Great spotted kiwi). RNAcentral describes it as "lncRNA (ENSAHAG00000018143.1)". The record is from RNAcentral. Lineage: Eukaryota; Metazoa; Chordata; Aves; Apterygiformes; Apterygidae.